RNAcentral lists this unclassified non-coding RNA (5279 nucleotides) under Leishmania donovani. RNAcentral's name for it is "gene:LdHU3.26.2710(CDS-product:SUMO1/Ulp2_putativ e)". The record is from RNAcentral. Lineage: Eukaryota; Euglenozoa; Kinetoplastea; Trypanosomatida; Trypanosomatidae.
CACACACACAUACACACACACACACACGCAAAUAUACCCCAAAGGAGGAGAAUCCCUCUUGCGCUCGUAGUUAUUCUGGACAUUUCAAGAAUCAGAGACGGCGCGUGUAUGUGUGUUGUUUCAUGAACUCGCAGCCGUCGACUCGCCGCCAUCGUUCCGCGGAGGGGGUGCCCCCCAACUCUUCUUCGUUGCUUGCCUUCGCGACAACCGCUGAUGCUGCCGUGGAACCUCGCCCCGCACCCCAGAGCACGAACGGUGAUGCGCUUCAGUCGCUCACACCAUCCAUGAGCUCCUCGGCGUCGUCGGCGACGGCGGACACACAAGCGCAUGAUCCGGCGGCAGAACCUGGGCCGGUGUCGUCGAGGCCCGACGCGGUCGGGGGGCCCGUGCGCAGCCCAACAAUCCGGCCACCGCCCAACAUGGUCCUCUGUGGGCAUCCGCACCAUCGACACUCUCAUCUGAUCCCUCGAUCGAGUGCGAGCAUGGCAGCGCCUGCUCAAACUGCUGCUGGCCGGCUGCAGGGGUUGGCAGCGGCAUCCUCGGCAUCUGCUCAAACAUCUGACAUGGCGACAAGACACUCGUCGACGCCGCCACCUUAUGCCCUCGUGAUGGACUCGCUGGUGCGCCGCUACCGCGCCGAAGAGGACCGCCUUAGGCAGUGGCGGCAAGGUGGUGGACGCGUCUGCGCCUCUGCCACAUUCCGGCAAGGUGAGGUGCAGUCGCGGCGACAACCGAGAGGUGCUGUAGAAGGAGAGGUGCUCACUCACGCAGGCUUGCGCGGAAGUACCGGGUGUGUCCUGAGCGGUCACACAAAUAGUGCUACAGAUAGUGGUCUUCGAGGGGUGCUGACAAGCGCUGCCCAACGCACUGCCUUCGUACGGGCUGCGCAGGCCUGGUGGCGGAGCAGAAGAGAGCUGCAACGAAUGUCAAGCAAGGCGAGCAAGCGAGUUUAUCCAGCGCCGCUAUCGGCUUCCUCAUCUGCGGUUGCAGGCGCAGAGACGCAGCACCCCAGCUACACGACGGCCGCGGCAGUGCCGUCAGCGCCUGCUGCCCCUCCUGUUGCUCUGCCUGCGUCGUCACUGUCGUGGUUGGAUACAGCUGGCCGCAGCAUACUUGGUCGCCUCUCUCACUCGCUGUCCCUGUCCAGUGACCGGGGAAAGUCGGUUAGGUUGGAGCUCCUGCGGCCGGCUGACGCUGCGCAACCACGUGGUGCGCGCAGAGACUACCAAGACGACACAGUCGACGGCAGCGUGAUGGAGGGCCAGCAGGCACCAGGAGCAGAGAUGGCCGAGAUGACGGCAGAGGCAGUGUCAGCGGCUGUGACCACGCCUGCCUUGUCGCCGUCUCUUAUGGGGAGCGAAGCUCUCCUGGCGCAUCCUCGCGAGAGUGCACGUCAGCAAGCCGGCUCGGGGGGCAGGGGCGGAGCCUUCCAUCGUCGGCAAGUCGACCGUGAGGAGGGAGAUUUGGACACCUCCACAGCUUCGUCGACGUGCUCGAGUAGGGGUAGCCGCGUGGGUGGUGCAGGCAGAGACGCUCUUCAGAGCACUGAAGCUGCGGGCGACUCGAGUCACAGACAAGAGGCGGGGUGCACGGGUCGGCACGAGCAUAGUGGCAGCUGCACGUUCUCGCGGAUUGGCGGCCUCCACAGGCACCUCUUGGGCGGUGCCGCGACUGCAUCAUCAGACGCCCCGGAGGACUCCUUGCGAAGCGCGUCUCGACUGCUUGCGCAGUCGCGUGUGCGCUUCGCGCGGUGGCUGCGCCGGCGGAAGCGACUUGAGGCAGCAAAGCGGUCACUGUGCGGCGUGGGUGCGUGGCCGAAGCCGACGACGGCGGCCGAUGCGGAGCACUUCGAUGCGUCCUCGUGUGCGCAACACUCGGCCGCCGCUCCACCGCCGUUCUCGCCUGCGUCUGAGUUGUAUCGGUGCGCUGCUGACGCCGCACAGUCGCCGUGGGAAUCGGCGUUGCCACCGACGUGGGCAGACAGGAGUGGCGGUGACAACAUGCUCAGGGAUGGAGAGGUGACUGAGGGUGCUACGGCUGCUACUAAGCGAACAACUCGCGCGCACGUGCUGGAGCAGCUGAGAGCCGCGAUUGCGGCAGGGAUGGCGGCGUGCAGCGCAGAGCAGGGAGGGCUGGUGACGCGGCAGACGACAUCGGAGGUGCAGUCGUCGGGUGGUGAACCGCCGGUGCUCUCUCUGGCUGCUCAGCGAACGCGUGAGCACGCCGACGAUCUAGCGCGCCUCACUGAGAGUCUGGCGAUGCUCACGCAAUCCGACGGAAGAGCUCCCGAAGGCUCUGGCAGUGCCAUCCGUGCCCACAGGGCCAACAGCCUCGAGGACGUGAAGCGCGCAUCUCCGAUGAUUCUGGACCAGAAGCGGAACGUGACAGCUGUACCGUCGCACCCUUCAGCAGGCAAGGCAACGAACGCUGCACUACCCGCGUGGUCGCCAUCUUGUGCGCAUGCCUCGUCGAUCAUCUCCGCCGGACAGCACCGCCGAUCGUACCACGGCAAUGCACGGGAUGCCCGUGGUGCAGAGCCGCGCACGCGUGACGGGAGGAGCUGUGUGCACGAGGUAGAGGUAGAGACCGCAGUAGAUGCGUUUCGAAGUCUGCUGACGGACACCACACACACCCCGCACGAUGUCGCAGUGCGGGCGGUGUAUGAGGCCAUCAUGAGUGAAGUGUGCGUCCCCCUUGUGCAGCGUGAUGUGCAGCACGCCAUGGACGUGAGCAGCAGCGCGGCAGAUCGUGCGCUGACGCAGUGGAUCGAGCGGCAUCUUAUGCUGGAACUGACGCAGCCGCGCGCAACGAAGGUGCAGGCGACAGCGUUGAAUGACGGCUCUGCCGCGUCCUCGGCGGCAACGCUGCAGCCGCUUGUCUGCACUGGUGUUAUGCGGCACAUCCGCAGUAGUGUGCCGGUGUCGCUCGAGCACCUGCGUCUGGACGACGCUGAUCGCCAAGUACUCGAAUCCGUCUACGCGCGCGGUGCGAGCAACGCCAUUGCAGUGAAGUUCGACACUGGGGGCUACGAGAUCAGCUACAGGCAGCUCGCCUCCUUGGGCCCCCGGUCGUGGCUGAACGACCAGGUCAUCAACAAUUACUUGCAGCUGCUGUGCGUGGAAGCGGAAGGCGCGGCCACCGCAUCUUUGCCCGCGGCCCGUUGCCGCCACCGUAUUGCGUCGCUGGGCACGCACUUCUACACGAAGGUGGAAUCCGAACUGAGCCAGAGCGUGGGCGGUUUUUGCAGCCCUCCACCACGCCUGCCGCAGCUCGACUCUAGCAGCGCCGUUUUCCGCUGGCUCCGCCAUCGCAAGCAUUUACUAGAGCCGUACAACCCCUCCGAUCCGCGUAGCGUGCGUGCGGUGCUAGUGCCCGUGAACAUCGAGGCGCAGCACUGGGCUUUGGCGGUCCUUUAUUGCGCGGACAACCGGUGGGUCAUGUACGACUCUAUGAGCCGAUCGGACAGGGCGCGCCAGCGCGGUGCUUUUAUACUGGCACAUCUCUCGCACGCGUGGCGAGAGUGCAAGCGACACUUUGGCCUCGUAAACACCAAAGGCACGCCCGCUGCUUCGGCAACCGUUGUUGCACAAGACUCACCGUCCUCUGUAGCACCACAACCGUCACUGUGGGCGUCGGCGUGCGUGGUGGCCGUGCCGUACGUGCCCUUCACCGACACGCUGUUGACGGAGGGGAGCUCUACUGCCGUAUCACCUCUCGAUUCCUUGCAGCCUUAUGACUCAUUGGACGAGCUGCACCGCGCAGCGAAGCGGAUACGACAUCAAGAGGAGCUGUUUGUGGAACAAACAGCACAGAAGGCGCUACAGGGAAUGAGCGGUGCUGGGGGAGCUGGCAGCGGUGUUGGCGCAGCGCUCGCAGUGCGAGCUGCGCCAACGCCGCCACCGGCACCUCUCUCGUUGACCGCUGCGACGGCUCUUCCUGCCGAGCAGCUGAGCGACACGGAGGUGGAGUGGUUCACAGGUGGGUUCGACCACAUCCCGCAGCAGGCGAACGGCAACGACUGCGGCGUCUUUGUAUGCCAGGCGGCCUGGUGCGUUGCCCAGGGUGUGGCGGUGAGUUUUACCCAGUCUGACGUCACCCGGCUGCGCGAAGUCAUUCUGCUGGAGCUGCUCAGCAAGCGACUUCUACGACGCUAUCCAACAGCGAACACGUCGUCGUCCAGCGGCGUCUGACGGACCGAGACAAACUUGUAAACACGCAUUCCACAUGCAUUCGUGCAGACAGAGAGAGAGGCACAUGAACGCUCUGUACCGUACGCUAUGGAGGAAGAUGUUGUUAGUGGGGAGACGCAUGUGAGAGAGAGGGCGAUGCGAUGGCUCAGUGGUAUUUCAAUCCUCUUUCAUUUUCCUUGUGUAGUCUUCUUCUCCGCCCUGAUGAAGGGCGGGCGCACCUGCGUGUGGCGCCACAGGGCGCAGUGCGUCCACACUCUGUCUGGGGAAGCCAGGAAGCCUUCCCCAUCCCCUGCGAAAUGCCAGAACCACUGCUGGUGGUGACAGGGCCAAUCACCCACGGCGUAGGGGGGAGGCCAGCGCGAUGCAUCCCUGCUGAUGUCUGCUGUGAUGCCCUGGAUGGCGUUGCGUCGGGUCGCCCCGCGACCAUGUGAGCGCGUUUGUGUCAUCCAUGUGAUGGACGCGGUGUAUCACAGUGACUCGGAUGCGUAGCCCGCCCGUCUCUCACAUUGCCCACUGCUGAUGCAGGGAGCCUGGGUGUCACCCCGAGAGGGAUGCACCAGGUGGCUGCCGACAUGAUGGGGCAGGGAGGGGGGGGCAGCUGUGAGGCGCCCUCCGAGGCGGGCGGGUGGGGGGAGGCGUUCGAGGCAGGGACCGUGCUCUCAGAUGGCUGAAUCGGCGCAUCGGUGUAGCACGCGCAUCUCACGCUGACUCACACUGUGCGAUGGGGGCCUGUGGCUAUGCGGGGGCAAGAGUGGGACUCUUGGCCUCAUGUUGUGUGGCAGAGAAAUGGGCAUGCGGAGCGCGAAAAGUGUCUUCCCUCCCUUUUCUCUCCUCUUUUGGCCACUGUGCGCGUGCUUGACUGACCAUGGCAUCUUGUUUGCCUUGUGGCGACGGCACUUGUGUACGUGAGCACGUUGGCUGUCGUCAUGUGUGUACGAAAGAUUGCUGAUCGGCAGGUCAACGCAGAUGCUGUUCCGCCUCCUCCUCCUGGUACUCGUUGCGGAGCGAAGUGAGCGGCCAAAAAGGUAAGCUAAAAUGAUAGAAAUGCUCGACGGGUGGCACGAAGGGAGCCGAAGGGUAGAAUCACAG